UACGUAGGGGGCGAGCGUUGUCCGGAUUCAUUGGGCGUAAAGAGCUCGUAGGCGGCUUGUCAAGUCGGGUGUGAAACCUCCAGGCUCAACCUGGAGACGCCACUCGAGACUGUCAUGGCUAGAGUCCGGUAGGGGAUCACGGAAUUCCUGGUGUAGCGGUGAAAUGCGCAGAUAUCAGGAGGAACACCAAUUGCGAAGGCAGCUCGCUGGGACGUUACUGACGCUGAGACGCGAAAGCGUGGGGAGCAAACAGG
This 254-nucleotide ribosomal RNA is filed under the name uncultured bacterium. RNAcentral's name for it is "partial 16S ribosomal RNA". It matches the Rfam family "Bacterial small subunit ribosomal RNA", at positions 524 to 776 of the family's 1533-position model. The record is from RNAcentral.